RNAcentral lists this ribosomal RNA (312 nucleotides) under Triticum aestivum (bread wheat). RNAcentral's name for it is "partial small subunit ribosomal RNA". The record is from RNAcentral. Lineage: Eukaryota; Viridiplantae; Streptophyta; Magnoliopsida; Poales; Poaceae.
AUGCUUUGGAAGAAGCUUGUACAGUUUGGGAAGGGGUUUUUUGAGAGAAAAGAAGAAUCUACUUCAACCGAUAUGCCCUUAGGCACGGCCAUGCAUAACAUAGAAAUCACACGUAGAAGGGGUGGGCAAUUAGCUAGAGCAGCAGGUGCUAUAGCGAAACUCAUUGCAAAAGAGGGUAAAUCGGCCACUUUAAGAUUACCAUCUCGGGAGGUCCAUUUAGUAUCCCAAAACUGCUUAGCAACAGUCCGACAAGUGGGUAAUGUUGGGGUGAACCAAAAUUUUUGGGUAGAGCCGGAUCUAAGUGUUGGCUAG